GAACGCUAGCUACAGGCUUAACACAUGCAAGUCGAGGGGCAGCAUGGUCUUAGCUUGCUAAGGCCGAUGGCGACCGGCGCACGGGUGAGUAACACGUAUCCAACCUGCCGUCUACUCUUGGACAGCCUUCUGAAAGGAAGAUUAAUACAAGAUGGCAUCAUGAGUCCGCAUGUUCACAUGAUUAAAGGUAUUCCGGUAGACGAUGGGGAUGCGUUCCAUUAGAUAGUAGGCGGGGUAACGGCCCACCUAGUCUUCGAUGGAUAGGGGUUCUGAGAGGAAGGUCCCCCACAUUGGAACUGAGACACGGUCCAAACUCCUACGGGAGGCAGCAGUGAGGAAUAUUGGUCAAUGGGCGAGAGCCUGAACCAGCCAAGUAGCGUGAAGGAUGACUGCCCUAUGGGUUGUAAACUUCUUUUAUAAAGGAAUAAAGUCGGGUAUGGAUACCCGUUUGCAUGUACUUUAUGAAUAAGGAUCGGCUAACUCCGUGCCAGCAGCCGCGGUAAUACGGAGGAUCUGAGCGUUAUCCGGAUUUAUUGGGUUUAAAGGGAGCGUAGAUGGAUGUUUAAGUCAGUUGUGAAAGUUUGCGGCUCAACCGUAAAAUUGCAGUUGAUACUGGAUAUCUUGAGUGCAGUUGAGGCAGGCGGAAUUCGUGGUGUAGCGGUGAAAUGCUUAGAUAUCACGAAGAACUCCGAUUGCGAAGGCAGCCUGCUAAGCUGCAACUGACAUUGAGGCUCGAAAGUGUGGGUAUCAAACAGGAUUAGAUACCCUGGUAGUCCACACGGUAAACGAUGAAUACUCGCUGUUUGCGAUAUACUGCAAGCGGCCAAGCGAAAGCGUUAAGUAUUCCACCUGGGGAGUACGCCGGCAACGGUGAAACUCAAAGGAAUUGACGGGGGCCCGCACAAGCGGAGGAACAUGUGGUUUAAUUCGAUGAUACGCGAGGAACCUUACCCGGGCUUAAAUUGCAGAUGAAUUACGGUGAAAGCCGUAAGCCGCAAGGCAUCUGUGAAGGUGCUGCAUGGUUGUCGUCAGCUCGUGCCGUGAGGUGUCGGCUUAAGUGCCAUAACGAGCGCAACCCUUGUUGUCAGUUACUAACAGGUUCCGCUGAGGACUCUGACAAGACUGCCAUCGUAAGAUGUGAGGAAGGUGGGGAUGACGUCAAAUCAGCACGGCCCUUACGUCCGGGGCUACACACGUGUUACAAUGGGGGGUACAGAGGGUCGCUACCACGCGAGAGGAUGCCAAUCCCCAAAACCUCUCUCAGUUCGGACUGGAGUCUGCAACCCGACUCCACGAAGCUGGAUUCGCUAGUAAUCGCGCAUCAGCCACGGCGCGGUGAAUACGUUCCCGGGCCUUGUACACACCGCCCGUCAAGCCAUGGGAGCCGGGGGUACCUGAAGUGCGUAACCGCGAGGAGCGCCCUAGGGUAAAACUGGUGACUGGGGCUAA
Molecule: ribosomal RNA, 1449 nt
Filed under: uncultured organism
Description: SSU rRNA
Rfam family: Bacterial small subunit ribosomal RNA
Source: RNAcentral